Molecule: ribosomal RNA, 253 nt
Filed under: uncultured bacterium
Lineage: Bacteria
Description: partial 16S ribosomal RNA
Rfam family: Bacterial small subunit ribosomal RNA
Source: RNAcentral
UACAGAGGUCCCAAGCGUUGUUCGGAUUCAUUGGGCGUAAAGGGUGCGUAGGUGGCGCCGUAAGUCGGGUGUGAAAUCUCGGGGCUUAACUCCGAAACUGCAUUCGAUACUGCGGUGCUUGAGGACUGGAGAGGAGACUGGAAUUCAUGGUGUAGCAGUGAAAUGCGUAGAGAUCAUGAGGAAGACCAGUGGCGAAGGCGGGUCUCUGGACAGUUCCUGACACUGAGACACGAAGGCCAGGGGAGCAAACGGG